UGGUGCAUCUGUCUUUGAGUCAUUUCU
This 27-nucleotide non-coding RNA is filed under the name Mus musculus (house mouse). The record is from RNAcentral. Lineage: Eukaryota; Metazoa; Chordata; Mammalia; Rodentia; Muridae.